CCCGUUGAAACACCGGAUCUAGUGUGAUCCCCGAAGUUAAGCAACGUUGACCCAGGUCAGUAUCUAGAUUGGUGAACGCUUGGAAAUACCAGAUGCUGUUA
This is a non-coding RNA of Acanthosepion pharaonis, 101 nucleotides long. The record is from the annotation of a GenBank genome assembly. Lineage: Eukaryota; Metazoa; Mollusca; Cephalopoda; Sepiida; Sepiidae.